Molecule: ribosomal RNA, 253 nt
Filed under: uncultured bacterium
Lineage: Bacteria
Description: partial 16S ribosomal RNA
Rfam family: Bacterial small subunit ribosomal RNA
Source: RNAcentral
UACGAAGGGAGCUAGCGUUGUUCGGAAUUACUGGGCGUAAAGGGCGCGUAGGCGGCUUGGCAAGUUGGAUGUGAAAGCCCAGGGCUCAACCCUGGAAUUGCAUUCAAGACUGCCUUGCUUGAAUUCGGUAGAGGUUGGUGGAAUUCCCAGUGUAGAGGUGAAAUUCGUAGAUAUCGGGAGGAACACCAGUGGCGAAGGCGGCGACCUGGGCUGAUACUGACGCUGAGGUGCGAAAGCGUGGGGAGCAAACAGG